AAACUCCACUUACCAUACUUUUACUGAGCUUCAGGCGAAUGCCAGGAAGCGUGAGAUCGAGUUAGAGACUCAGGCCAGGGAGGAGGCCGAGUCUCAGCAGGCAGACCGGCGGCCGGCUCAGUCUCAGCCGGCAGCCAAGCGGAUCAAGUCCGCCGAUUCGAGGACGGGAGGUUCGAAGAACCGCACUUGCGUAAAGUGCGGUAAGGGUCACGAUGGGGCGUGUCGAGCCGGUGCUUGCUACAAGUGUGGCAAGGAGGGACACAUUGCUAGGGAGUGUCCCAAGGGAUUUACGGUUUGCUUUCAUUGCAACCAGACCGGCCAUCGGAAGGCCGAGUGCCCUCAGCUUCGUCAGGGAUCUGCACCUGCUGCCAGGACUACUGAGACUCGACCGGUGAAGGUCGAGGCCCCGAGGGCUCGUGGGAGAGCCUUUCAGCUGACUGCGGAGGAGGUCCGCGCUGCGCCCGAUGUUGUGGCAGGUAUGUUGUAAUUCAUGUAAUUAUUUUAAUGUCGAUAUGUUAUGCUUAUGUUAUUAUGCGCGUAGGUACUUUCCUUGUGAACUCUGUGCCUGCCUUAGUGUUAUUUGACUCGGGUGCGAGUAGGUCCUUUGUGUCCUUAGCCUUUAGUCAGCAGAUCGGCGUUAGUCGUGAGUCGUUGAGUCGACCUUUGAGAGUUUCUAUAGCUGACGAGAAAGUGAUUUGUGCUACGGAGGUUCUUCGGGGAUGUGUACUAGAGAUUUUCGGGGUUGGAUUCCCGAUUGACCUGAUUCCUAUUGCGAUGGGGGAUGUCUGUGUUAUCGUGGGCAUGGACUGGUUGAGCCGAUUCGGCGCUGUCAUCGACUGCGAGCGUCAGUUGGUGACCAUACGAGACCAUAGUGGGGGAGUUCUUUCGGUGUACGGUGAGGGUACCCGUUCAGGAUCAGCUUUUUGUUCGGCCGCUAGGGCGAGGCAGUGUCUACAGCAGGGCUGUAAGGGUUUUGUGGCGUAUGUGAUGGAUACGCGGGAGGUUUCCGAGAGACCGAAGUCAGUUGAGGAGGUCCCUGUGGUGCGUGAGUUUUCAGAUGUUUUUCCCGAGGAACUGCCGGGAGUACCUCCUGUGAGGCAAGUAGAGUUUGGUAUCGAUCUGGUUCCGGGGGCCGCGCCUAUUGCUAAAGUGCCCUAUCGUCUUGCACCUCCAGAGAUGCAAGAGUUGUCCUCGCAACUCCAGGAGUUGCUGGGAAAGGGAUUCAUUCGGCCGAGCAGCUCGCCAUGGGGAGCACCUAUUCUGUUCGUCAAGAAGAAGGAUGGUUCACACCGGAUGUGCAUUGAUUACCGGGAGUUGAACAAGCUAACGGUCAAGAACCGUUACCCGUUGCCGAGGAUCGAUGAUUUAUUCGAUCAGUUGCAGGGAGCAUCUUGGUUUUCCAAGAUCGAUCUGAGGUCAGGAUACCAUCAGGUGAGGGUACGGGAUGAGGACGUCCAGAAGACAGCGUUUAGGACGCGAUAUGGGCAUUAUGAGUUUGUGGUGAUGCCUUUUGGACUCACCAAUGCCCCGGCUGUGUUCAUGGAUCUCAUGAACAGGGUAUGCAGGCCGAUGUUGGAUCGGUCAGUGAUUGUAUUUAUCGACGACAUUCUGGUGUAUUCGAGAUCUAGAGAGCAGCAUGAGGAGCAUUUGAGGGAGGUCCUUGAGGUAUUGAGGUCGGAGAAGCUUUAUGCAAAGUUCUCCAAAUGUGACUUCUGGUUGCGGGAGGUCCAGUUUCUAGGACAUGUGGUUAAUCAGAAAGGGAUAUUGGUCGAUCCGGCCAAGGUUGAGGCGGUGAUGAGUUGGGAGGUGCCGAAGUCACCCUCUGAGAUCAGAAGUUUCCUUGGGUUGGCAGGGUAUUAUCGGAGAUUUAUCAAGGAUUUCUCCAAGAUCGCAGUGCCACUCACCAGAUUGACCCGGAAGGGUGUUACAUUCUCAUGGGGGCCCGAGCAGCAGACCUCCUUUGAGACACUUCGCCAGAGAUUGUGCGAAGCCCCGGUAUUAGCUCUCCCAGAAGGGAUGGAAGAUUUCGUGGUAUAUUGCGACGCAUCGAUUUCGGGAUUGGGUGCAGUGUUGAUGCAGAGGGGUCAUGUGAUAGCUUAUGCGUCGAGGCAGCUGAAGCCUCAUGAGGCGAGAUAUCCCACGCAUGAUUUAGAGUUGGGGGCAGUAGUGUUCGCUCUCAAGAUUUGGCGCCACUACUUGUAUGGGGUUCGAUGUACGAUAUACACGGACCAUAAGAGUUUGAAGUAUUUGAUGGAUCAACCCAACCUAAAUAUGCGUCAGAGGAGGUGGUUGGAUGUGGUCAAGGAUUAUGAUUGUGAGAUCCUGUACCACCCAGGCAAGGCUAAUGUGGUAGCCGAUGCAUUGAGCCGCAGGGCGGAGAGCACUCCAUUGCGAGAUGUAUGCUUGAGACUGACUGUGAUGACUCCAGUAUUGGACGCUAUUCGUGGGGCCCAGGCAGAGGCUGUGCGACCAGAAAUGCAGAAGAAAGAGCGGGUUGUGGGGUUAAUCUCAGAGUUUGUCAAGGAUAGUCGAGGCCUUAUGACGUUUCAGGGUCGGAUUUGGGUACCGUUCGUGGGCGGUACGCGUAUUACGUUGAUGGAAGAGGCUCAUAGAUCGAAAUUCUCGAUCCAUCCCGGUGCUACAAAGAUGUAUUUGGAUUUAAGGAAGGAAUAUUGGUGGCCCUGUAUGAAGAGGGACGUGGCAUGGUUCGUUGAGAGGUGCUUGACCUGCCGUAGGGUUAAGGCUGAGCACCAGAGACCGCAUGGCAAGUUACAGCCAUUGGAGAUCCCCGAGUGGAAGUGGGAACAGAUCACUAUGGAUUUUAUCACCAAAUUGCCGAGGACUGCUAGGGGAGUUGACGCAAUUUGGGUGAUCGUGGAUAGGUUGACAAAGAGUGCACACUUCCUUGCCAUCAGUGAGAGUUCUUCGGCGGAGAAAUUGGCGGAGAUAUACGUGAGAGAGGUGGUAUCUCGGCACGGGGUGCCGAUCUCGAUUGUGUCAGACCGUGAUGUGCGCUUUACUUCCAGAUUCUGGAAGAAAUUCCAUGAGGAGCUGGGUACUAAAUUGCAUUUUAGUACCGCAUACCAUCCCCAGACAGACGGUCAGAGCGAGCGGACAAUUCAGACGCUGGAGGACAUGCUCCGAGCGUGUGUGUUAGACUUCGGGGGUAGUUGGGAUGCGUAUUUACCAUUGGCAGAGUUCUCCUACAACAACAGCCAUCAUUCGAGCAUUGGUAUGCCACCUUUCGAGCUGUUGUAUGGUAGGAGGUGUCGGACCCCCAUUUGCUGGGGAGAGGUGGGACAGAGAGUGAUGGGCAGCACGGAGAUCGUGCUCCAGACGACAGAGCAGAUUCAGCGAGUGAGACAAAGGUUAUUGACUGCCCAGAGCCGACAGAAGAGUUAUGCAGACAGGCGCCGAUCCGAGCUUGAAUUUCAGGUCGGCGACUUCGUUCUCCUGAAGGUCUCUCCUUGGAAAGGAGUGAUUCGAUUCAGGAAGAGGGGCAAGUUGGGGCCCCGGUAUAUUGGGCCAUUUCGUGUGAUUGCAAGGAUAGGUCGGGUAGCCUAUCGGUUGGAGUUGCCAGCGGAGUUGGGUCAGAUCCAUGACACUUUUCAUGUGUCGCAGUUGAGGAAGUGCAUAGCCGAUGAGUCGGCAGUGGUUCCAUUGGAGGAUAUUCAGGUGGAUGCGAGCCUGAAUUACGCGGAGAGACCAGUGGCUAUCAGGGAUCGGAAGAUCAAGGUUCUGAGGAACAAGGAGGUACCUCUGGUGUUGGUUCAAUGGCAACACCGUAAGGGAUCAGAAAUGACUUGGGAACCGGAGCGCGAAAUGCGGGAGCAGCAUCCGGAACUAUUUGCAGAAUGAGACUUCGAGGGCGAAGUCUAAUCCAAGUGGGGGAGAGUUGUAACAGCCCGGAAUCUCAGGUAUUAUUAAAAUUAUGUUUUUGGGGUGAUUUAAGAGGGGACUCGGCGAGUUGGAGCCUAGACUCGCCGAGUAGGAUCGCGGACUUGGUCGCGGGUCCGCGACUGGACUCGACGAGUCCAGAUAUGGACUCGGCGAGUCGACGCUGUUCAGCAGAAACCCUAACCGUUCAGUUUGGAUCGUAUUUAACGCCUCUUAGGCCGUCAUUUUCAGUCUUUUGGUCAAUUGAGAGGAACCCUAAUCGCUGUGGACGCCUAGAGCAAGGGAGAAAGCUUUGGAACUUGGAAGAAUUGGUUAGGCAAGAAGAAGAGGGAUUUGGCUAAAGGAAUAUCAAGGAGGAUUGAGUCCUGAGAUUUGGGGGACACAGAGAGUGCGUUUUCAGGUAAUACUCGGACCAAAUCUGUUAUUUUGAUGUAUUUAUGAAAUUAGGGUUUAUAGAACCCAUUUAGUGAUUUGAUGAAGAAAUGCCUUGUUACCCCACGAUUAUAGUCUUGUAUUAGGACCUUUAGAGGUCCAGAAGGUCCCAUGCAUGUGUACUUCGGGACGAGACCUAUCCCAGGAAGCAGUUACUCGUCUGCAUGGCAUGGACUCGCCGAGUUGUUCUUCAGACUCGGCGAGUAGCUUGAAGAUUUGCUGGGACUCGCCGAGUUGUUCAUCAGACUCGGCGAGUGGAGUCGGGGUGGCCCCGCGAUUCUUCCACGAGGACCUCGUCGAGUCAAGAGGGAUACUCGACGAGUAGAAAGGGAAUAUUCAGGAAUUUGUGAGGACGACUAGACUCGCCGAGUCGCCAUGGUACUCGCCGAGUCCAGUCGAGUUGACCGUUGACCGUUGACCAGAGUUGACCUAAGUCUGACUUCUUAGGGAUAGUCACACUUAGAUGAUAUGAGUGUUAAUGAGUUAUGUAAUGUUAUAGGAGGGUUGUAGCUCGUUGGUUUGUGCGCGAGUGAUUUCAGGAGUUGCUAGCUUUCAGCACUUACGAGGUGAGUCUUCUCACUAUACUGUACCCGGAAGGGUUUGACUGUGUGACCGGAAGGUCGGAUAUGAUAUGUGAUAUGUAUGCUAUAUGUGGUAUGUUAUAUGUUAUAUGUGCUAUGUAUGUUAUGGGCCGGAAGGCGAAUAUGUUAUGGGCCGGAAGGCGAUAUGAUGUGUGAUGGACCGGAAGGUCGGCGUGGGUAAGGCCGGAAGGUUUACCCAGCAGGGACGGAAGUCCCCUGAGACACAUGGACCGGAAGGUCGGGCCUGGAAAGGCGUAUGUGCGUAAGUUGUAUAUUGGGGAACUCACUAAGCAUUUAUGCUUACAGUUGUUGUGCAUGUAUUUCAGGUACUAGCGAGGACCGUGGGAAGGCGCCGGCAUGAUCGAUACACACUGAAGAUUGUUUUAAGAUCUUGGGAGUUUGAAUAAUUGUAUUGACCGAAUAAUUAAACUGUUUAUGUCUUGUUUUUAAUGGAAAUAAUUAUGUUUUAAAAAUGAAAAAUUUGUUUGAAAAAUUUGAGUUGUUACAAUUGGUAUCAGAGCCUUGGUUUGAGGGAUUCGGGUGCACCUUCGGGGGUAACUGAACUCAAACCGAGGAUUUGAGGAAACUUUUCAAAUAAAGGCAUAAACUUUUGUAAAUGGUUUUGUGGUAAGCAAGAAAGAAGCAGUGUGUACGAUCAGUCAGCGCCCGAACGGUAAAGAUCCCCAAAAUACCUUACAAUAUUAUAUGAUAUGAAUUGUUAUGCAUGCUAGAAGACUAGGUAUUCAUGAUAGGACUAGAGUGGCCUGAUUUGUGAUGCCUUAGUCUAGGGAAGUUGCCUAUAUGAGAUGCUUUGCUAGUAUGCGGGUAGAUAGAGCGUAUCAGAAGUAGAGUACUCACUAUCUGGAGUUUGGGGAGGAGGACUUGGGAUGAACAUUGAUGCGGUGUGGUCGGUAGUAUUGGGCCCGUACUACCGAGGACACCGGGUCAGUGGGAGGCCCAAGUAAGAAUCCCUGGAUAUCUGGGACUGAGUAGGGUUGCGUGUCGAGUACGAUUAUACUCGGUAGAAUCUCUGAUAGUUUUAUGUUGUAUUUCAGAGAUAUCAUGGUUAGACCGCGGCACGGGGCAAGUACGAGCGGUGUGAGUGACGAGGAUAUUCGUCAGAUGAUCCACGAGGAGGUGGCGGCGGCGAUCCGGGCUGAGAUCCCGGAGAUGUUUGGGUCUAUCAAGACCACCCUGAUGGAGACGUUCGACGAGCGGUACGCCGCAUUGACUGAGGCUGCAACCGCUGCAGCUACCGCAGCUGUGGCCGCUGCUAGGCCACAGGGGGGUGAUUCAUUGCUGUUCCGAGAGUUCAGCAACACGAAGCCACCAGAGUUCGAUGGGACGCAGGAUCCGAUUGCUGCGAUGAGGUGGAUCGCAGAUAUAGAGGGGUGCUUCUACACUUGUUCAUGCCCGGAGCACCUGAGGGUACGGUUCGCUUUGAACCAGCUCCGUCUGGGAGCAAAGGACUGGUGGAAGUUCGUGACGGCGAACUUCACUUUGGCAGAGACUGCGGCAGUGACAUGGGAGGGGUUCACUACCAUGUUCAGGGAGGAGUACGUUCCCCCGGUGGAGCGGGAACGAUUGGUUCAGGAGUUCUUAACCCUCAAGCAGGGUACUGAUUCGGUGGCGGCGAUCACGCGGAAGUUCCAUGAGAGGGCGAUGUUUUGCCCCGAGCUGGUGGCCACAGAGCAGGCUCGGAUGAGCCGGUACUUGGGUGUUCUGAGGAGGGAGAUCCGGGAGUUUGUGUCAAACUCCACUUACCAUACUUUUACUGAGCUUCAGGCGAAUGCCAGGAAGCGUGAGAUCGAGUUAGAGACUCAGGCCAGGGAGGAGGCCGAGUCUCAGCAGGCAGACCGGCGGCCGGCUCAGUCUCAGCCGGCAGCCAAGCGGAUCAAGUCCGCCGAUUCGAGGACGGGAGGUUCGAAGAACCGCACUUGCGUAAAGUGCGGCAAGGGUCACGAUGGGGCGUGUCGAGCCGGUGCUUGCUACAAGUGUGGCAAGGAGGGACACAUUGCUAGGGAGUGUCCCAAGGGAUUUACGGUUUGCUUUCAUUGCAACCAGACCGGCCAUCGGAAGGCCGAGUGCCCUCAGCUUCGUCAGGGAUCUGCACCUGCUGCCAGGACUACUGAGACUCGACCGGUGAAGGUCGAGGCCCCGAGGGCUCGUGGGAGAGCCUUUCAGCUGACUGCGGAGGAGGUCCGCGCUGCGCCCGAUGUUGUGGCAGGUAUGUUGUAAUUCAUGUAUUUAUUUUAAUGUCGAGAUGUUAUGCUUAUGUUAUUAUAUGCGUAGGUACUUUCCUUGUGAACUCUGUGCCUGCCUUAGUGUUAUUUGACUCGGGUGCUAGUAGGUCCUUUGUGUCCUUAGCCUUUAGUCAGCAUAUCAGCGUUAGUCGUGAGUCGUUGAGUCGACCUUUGAGAGUUUCUAUAGCUGACGAGAAAUCGAUUUAUGCCACGGAGGUUCUUCGAGGAUGUGUGCUAGAGAUUUUCGGGGUUGAAUUCCCGAUUGACCUGAUUCCUAUUGCGAUGGGUGACGUCUGUGUUAUCGUGGGCAUGGACUGGUUGAGCCGAUUCGGCGCUGUCAUCGACUGUGAGCGUCAGUUGGUGACCAUACGAGACCAUAGUGGGGGAGUUCUUUCGGUGUACGGUGAGGGUACCCGUUCAGGAUCAGCUUUUUGUUCGGCCGCUAGGGCGAGGCAGUGUCUACAGCAGGGCUGUAAGGGUUUUGUGGCGUAUGUGAUGGAUACGCGGGAGGUUUCCGAGAGACCGAAAUC
This 7683-nucleotide long non-coding RNA is filed under the name Lactuca sativa (garden lettuce). Its description in RNAcentral is "long non-coding RNA (LSAT_LNC001440)". The record is from RNAcentral. Lineage: Eukaryota; Viridiplantae; Streptophyta; Magnoliopsida; Asterales; Asteraceae.